Molecule: ribosomal RNA, 460 nt
Filed under: uncultured bacterium
Lineage: Bacteria
Description: partial 16S ribosomal RNA
Rfam family: Bacterial small subunit ribosomal RNA
Source: RNAcentral
CUACGGGCCGCUCCAGUAAGGAAUAUUGCGCAAUGGAGGCAACUCUGACGCAGCCAUGCCGCGUGAAGGAAGAAGGCCUUAUGGGUCGUAAACUGCUUUUAUUUAGGAAUAAACCCCCGAACGUGUUCGGGGCUGAAGGUACUAAACGAAUAAGCACCGGCUAGACUGCGUGCCAGCAGCCGCGGUAAUACGGAGGGUGCAAGCGUUAUCCGGAUUUAUUGGGUUUAAAGGGUGCGCAGGCGGGCUAUUAAGUCAGUGGUGAAAUCCCGGGGCUCAACUCCGGAACUGCCAUUGAUACUGAUAGUCUUGAGUUUGGUUGAAGUGGGCGGAAUGUAGCAUGUAGCGGUGAAAUGCAUAGAUAUGCUACAGAACACCAAUCGCGAAGGCAGCUCACUAAGCCAAAACUGACGCUCAUGCACGAAAGCGUGGGGAUCAAACAGGAUUAGAUACCCCCGUAGUC